GGGAUGUACGGGUGACGGUCUCGACCCUUCAAGACCGUCUCGCGGAGACCAAGUUGUGUUGUUCAACAUGUAGUAGACUCCUCCUUCCUUGAAGGCGUGGUCUAUUCAAAUCCCUUCUUCGAGCGUCAUUUUCGACCGAUUGCAAUGCAAGUUAUCUAUUUAUUUGCGAAAAAAACGGCCAAUUACGGAACAAAAGUUGCCUAUAAAAAAGUAGGUCAAGUGUCGUUUAGGCCCAUGGGUUUGUUUCUGUGAUGGCGCUACUGUAGAGGACAACAGUGGGGGGAAAAUAAGAAAAUCUCUUAGGGAAUUGAUGGGCAAUCAUCAAAGGAACCUCUUCAGUUCGUGUUUCACCUCGACUAGGAAAAGAACAUUAAGAGUUAGUGCAAUGUAUUACGAAGUAGAAAAAAUCAUUGACAAAAAAUUAGUUGCUGAGAAAAAGGGACAAAAACGCGUCUGGUAUUUUGUUAAAUUUAAAGGUUACCCCCCCGAAGCCAACGAAUGGGUUUCGGCAAAACAUUCCAGAAUGGAAAGAUUAGUCCGGGAGUUUCAUGCAGCGCAAAAAGCUGCUACAGUGCUACAGAAUUCUCCACCCCCUUCUUCCUCACCCUUGCCUGACCCCAACCUUCCAGCGAAGAAAAACAAGAAAAAAGGAAGAAGCCUGAAAAAAAUGUGCUUAGGCGUAGCAAAUGCUAUGUGGUAAGUCUUAUUUCAGAAAAUAUUACAUCUUUUUAUAAUUUAAAAUUUAGAUUUUUUUUACAGUGCAAACAGAAAGGACAUCGGUCCUCCAAAUUUUGUAGACAAAUUGUUUAAUUUUAUUACUUUUUAUGAUAUUUUACUUUUUUUGUUCAACCAAGAUUUUUAAAAACAGUUUCACGAUAGGUAUUCUGUCUAGAUUGAGAUGAUAUUAGUUUCCCUAUAAGUAUUCUGUCUAGAUUGAGAGGAUAUUAGUUUCCCAGAGGAAUCUAGGGUGAGGCAAGUAAUAUUUUCAUAAUCACAUUUCACUAACUAAUUAAUUAUUAAUUAAAUUAUUAUUAAGCAGGAUUAUGUUAUAAAUUAUUAUGUUUUCUUAAACACCAGACAGAAUUCUCCACCCCCUUCUUCCUCACCCUUGCCUAACCCCAUCCUUCCAGCGAAGAAAAACAAGAAAAAAAGGAAGAAGCCUGAAAAAAAUGUGCUUAGGCGUAGCAAAUGCUAUGUGUGCAAACAGAAAGGACAUCGGUCCUCCAAAUUUUGUAGACAAAUUGUUUAAUUUUAUUACUUUUUAUGAUAUUUUACUUUUUUUGUUCAACCAAGAUUUUCAAAAACAGUUUCCCGAUAGGUAUUCUGUCUAGAUUGAGAUGAUAUUAGUUUCCCUAUAAGUAUUCUGUCUAGAUUGAGAGGAUAUUAGUUUCCCGGAGGAAUCUAGGGUGAGGCAAGUAAUAUUUUCAUAAUCACAUUUCACUAACUAAUUAAUUAUUAAUUAAAUUAUUAUUUAGCAGGAUUAUGUUAUAAAUUAUUAUGUUUUCUUAAACACCAGACAGAAUUCUCCACCCCCUUCUUCCUCACCCUUGCCUAAUUCCAUCCUUCCAGCGAAGAAAAACAAGAAAAAAAGGAAGAAGCCUGAAAAAAAUGUGCUUAGGCGUAGCAAAUGCUAUGUGUGCAAACAGAAAGGACAUCGGUCCUCCAAAUUUUGUAGACAAAUUGUUUAAUUUUAUUACUUUUUAUGAUAUUUUACUUUUUUUGUUCAACCAACAUUUUCAAAUAC
RNAcentral lists this unclassified non-coding RNA (1744 nucleotides) under Daphnia magna. Its description in RNAcentral is "uncharacterized LOC116928384, transcript variant X1". The record is from RNAcentral. Lineage: Eukaryota; Metazoa; Arthropoda; Branchiopoda; Diplostraca; Daphniidae.